UGAGGAAUAUUGGUCAAUGGGCGCAAGCCUGAACCAGCCAUCCCGCGUGCAGGAAGACGGCCCUAUGGGUUGUAAACUGCUUUUCCAGGGGGAGAAUUUUUCUGUCGUGACAGGAAUUGACGGUACCCUGGGAAUAAGCAUCGGCUAACUCCGUGCCAGCAGCCGCGGUAAUACGGAGGAUGCGAGCGUUAUCCGGAUUUAUUGGGUUUAAAGGGUGCGUAGGCGGAUAGAUAAGUCAGUGGUGAAAACCUGCAGCUUAACUGUAGACUUGCCGUUGAUACUGUCAGUCUUGAGUAUGGUCAAGGUAGGCGGAAUGUGUAAUGUAGCGGUGAAAUGCUUAGAUAUUACACAGAACACCGAUUGCGAAGGCAGCUUACUGGGCCAUUACUGACGCUGAUGCACGAAAGCGUGGGGAUCGAACAGG
RNAcentral lists this ribosomal RNA (424 nucleotides) under uncultured bacterium. Its description in RNAcentral is "bacterial SSU rRNA". It matches the Rfam family "Bacterial small subunit ribosomal RNA", at positions 355 to 776 of the family's 1533-position model. The record is from RNAcentral.